Molecule: long non-coding RNA, 736 nt
Organism: Populus trichocarpa (black cottonwood)
Lineage: Eukaryota; Viridiplantae; Streptophyta; Magnoliopsida; Malpighiales; Salicaceae
Exons: 2
Source: RefSeq, a predicted model, not a curated record
AGCGAGUGUUCGGCCAGUUCGCUCGGCAUGUUAAUGGUCUAAGCCCAUAUAUACCCUAUAACCACCAAACUGAGAGCCUGAUUCAGCUCGCAUAGGCGCUCCCUCUCUUUUCUUACCCCUCGAUCUUCACAAAUCACAGGUAGAUGGUUAAUCAAGUAUCAAAUUUAGAGUUUGCCCCAACGUCAACUCGUUUUUAUUUGGUUGUUCUCAUAUACUGUAACUUCACUUUUAUUUCCCACUAAGGAAAAAUAUCAUUACAAGGAAAAUAAAUCAUAGCAGAUCACCAUCACCCCACUUAUCCUGAAACAUUGGCCCCACAAAAAAGAAGAAGAAGAAGAGAUGAGACAUCAAACUAUUGUAGUUUGGUUUUUUCUAUUGAAAUACAUGCGUAUAUACAUGAUAUAUCUCCCACAUGGAGCUUUGGUUUUUUAUUUAAAAGGAAAAAACCAAGCUAGCUCUGAUUGCCAGUAAAAAAAAACAAGAAGAAGAAGAAGAAGAAGAACUAAAGAAGAAAAGGUGGGGGUUUGCAUGUAAAAAGGUCGUAUCCAAGAAGGUAAAGGCCCUCAGGGACGAGAUGGUGAUGGUGGUGUUACAAUUAACUUUCCAGUUCCCACAGUGUUCAAGCUGGAUAAAGCUAGCAGAUCAAAAUUCAAAAUCAGAAUGGGAUGAUCAUUCGUUCUUUGCAGAUUAAUUAUGUACUGUACUAUAAAUUAAUAUACCCUGGCCUUUGAUUCCA